This 417-nucleotide long non-coding RNA is filed under the name Mus caroli (Ryukyu mouse). Its description in RNAcentral is "lncRNA (MGP_CAROLIEiJ_G0006706.1)". The record is from RNAcentral. Lineage: Eukaryota; Metazoa; Chordata; Mammalia; Rodentia; Muridae.
AACGGUCGGCGCGGCCUGCCACGAGGGAGCGUCCGCGGCCCGCGCAGAGCCGCGCACCAAGUCGAUGGCCGUGGACGCAGCAGGGCCCCGCGGUCUGCGUGCGGGCAGGCGCUCGUGGGCGUGUCUCCCUGGCCCACGCGUGUCCCCGGCAUCAGUGUCUCGGCUCUGGUCCAGGACGAAGACUUCUGAAAGCAAGCCAAGGAGCACAGGAUGUUUCUUGGCUUCAAACCAUUUGGAUAAGCGAUGUCAGCAAGCUUCGCCGCUGUAAAGUCACCUCUUUAUAAGAAGACAGGAGCUCUUUGUAAAGAAUAUGAGACCUGAGGCUGGGGGAUGGCUGAGAAGGGAAAAGCACCUCUGCACAGGUGUGAGGAAAGGAGUUUGUUCUUCCAAAUCCAUGUAGAAAUCUUGAUGCUGUGU